Molecule: ribosomal RNA, 481 nt
Filed under: uncultured bacterium
Lineage: Bacteria
Description: partial 16S ribosomal RNA
Rfam family: Bacterial small subunit ribosomal RNA
Source: RNAcentral
GACGAACGUUGGCGGCGUGCUUAAUACAUGCAAGUCAACUGAAGCAGUGGUAGCAAUCUCGCUGUGGAGGUGGCGCACGGGUGAGUAACACGUAGGUAAUCUGCCUUCAGGUCUGGCAUAACUCCGGGAAACCGGGGCUAAUAGCAGAUGAUGCAGCGGCUCGACAUCGAGACAGUUGUUAAAGCUAUGGCGCCUGAAGAUGAGCCUGCGUCUGAUUAGCUAGUUGGCGGGGUAACGGCCCACCAAGGCAACGAUCAGUAGCUGGUCUGAGAGGAUGAUCAGGCACACUGGAACUGAGACACGGUCCAGACUCCUACGGGAGGCAGCAGUAAGGAAUAUUGCUCAAUGGGAGAAAUCCUGAAGCAGCAACGCCGCGGGAGGGACGAAGGGCUUUGGCUUGUAAACCUCUGUAGUGAGAGAAAAAAAUCCCAAUCUUUGGGACAUGAUGGUAUCUCAAAAGUAAGCCCCGGCUAACUACGUG